This is a long non-coding RNA of Diceros bicornis minor, 643 nucleotides long. RefSeq lists it as uncharacterized. The record is from RefSeq and is a predicted model, not a curated record. NCBI's taxonomy places the organism in Eukaryota, Metazoa, Chordata, Mammalia, Perissodactyla, Rhinocerotidae. The transcript has 3 exons.
GAUUAGGACACAGACAUACAUGGAGGAAGACUAUGUGAGGAUACAGGGAGAUGGGGGCCAUCUACAAGCCCAUGAGAGACCUCAGAAGAAACCAUUCCUGUCGCCACCUUAAUCUUGGACUUCUAGCCUCCAGAACUAAUCCAAAGAAUUGAUAACUGGCUCGGAGUGCGUCACCUGCCCUUGACCCUGUCCUGUCCAGUGCUUCUUUCAACAACUUGGAUGAAGAUAUAAAAGGAAAUGGAAUCCCCUGUCCACUUCAGGCCUGUUGAGACCACCAACCCAUCAACUGGGCCCAUGCAGACAUAUGUCCAAUAAGCAACCUUUUGACAUCAAGAGGUUAGAACUCGAUCCUUGGGGCAUGCUAACAUCGCCAUUCUGUGAACAUGCGUCCUACGAAGAGGCAUGAAGCCUGACUACACUUGUGCAGAUCAUCAAUUACCUCAUCUUUCCUCACCUCCAAUCAUUUCAGACCACCUUGCCCCCUACCCCAUAAAUAUCCCUCAGUCCCUAUUUUCGGGGAAGUGGAUUUGAGAUUCAUUCUCCCAUUUCCUCACUUGGCUGCCUUGUGAUUAAUAAACCCUCUCUCUGCUGCAGUCUCAUCACCUUGGUGUUUGGCUUUCUGGGUGGUGGGCCAAAACGGACC